ACAACCUGCCCAGGUGUUUGUUGUUUGUGCCCCGUUACCACAUACACAAAAGGGGCCAUCUUUGGAUUGGCAUUUGAAUUCUUUAGCCUUGGUGGGGAAAAUGGAUGCAGCCAGAGGCAGAGGAAGAAGACGUUGCGGAAGAGCAAGAACAGUUGUGUCUGAUGAAAUCAGAGCCACAGUCAUUGGUAAAUCAUGGUCUGUCCCUGAGGGAAGCAGGUUGAGGGUUCAACCAAACUUGCCUAGAUCCACAGUGGCUUCAAUAGUGAGGAUUUUCAGGCAAACCAACAGGAACUCUGAGGGUGUCAAGGUACUCAGAUACCAAUAUAUGUGAAGGUGUAGGACCACCACCCACAUGAAAAGUCACUUCCAGAUGCAAUGCCGGCUGGGUGUAUGGACAUAACAGUGGAACACAUCCAGGGCUGGAAAAGCCACACAAAGAGAUGUUUUCCUCGGUGUAUAGAAAGAGAUAACAUUUGGAGUGAUGUUGAUGAAAAUCUAUGGCCAAAUGCAGAGGACAGGAUGGAUGGGCCAGGCCAACAGUAGACUUCUGAUACUGAUAGGCAGACAAUAUAUGUGCGAAUUACUGUAUAUAGUGAAAAUAUUGCUUUUUGGUAUGUAUUUGUUAUUGAUUGUAAUGUAUUUUGAGUAAUUGAUUGUAUUGUAUUUUUCUUUUCUGAAUUACAGUAUAUUGCACUGUGAGAACAAAUGUCAAAAUACUGUAAACCCUCUGAAGAAUA
Molecule: long non-coding RNA, 737 nt
Organism: Conger conger (European conger)
Lineage: Eukaryota; Metazoa; Chordata; Actinopteri; Anguilliformes; Congridae
Exons: 2
Source: RefSeq, a predicted model, not a curated record